Small nucleolar RNA from Lactuca sativa (garden lettuce), 130 nucleotides. RefSeq annotates it as small nucleolar RNA snoR127. The record is from RefSeq and is a predicted model, not a curated record. NCBI's taxonomy places the organism in Eukaryota, Viridiplantae, Streptophyta, Magnoliopsida, Asterales, Asteraceae.
CUGGAAUGAGGAAGCUUAGCCAAAUCAGACAUUGAUGUGCUCCAUAGGGAUGGAUGGUUACACUUGACAUCCUUUUGUUGAAGCGCAUCUCUCUGAUGAUAAAACAGAGAUGGGUUACUAGCUGACCAGA